RNAcentral lists this transfer RNA (68 nucleotides) under Marmota monax (woodchuck). RNAcentral's name for it is "tRNA.Ala". Lineage: Eukaryota; Metazoa; Chordata; Mammalia; Rodentia; Sciuridae. The record is from RNAcentral.
GCUGGGGCUCAGCGGUAGCGCACUUGCCUGGCACGAGUGAGGCACUGGGUUCGAUUCCCAGCACGGCA